AGCCGGAGCAGCCGAACCAGACUCUGCCCAGCAACCUGUGAACAAGCUGAUGUUGAUGAUGGCGUAGGAGGCUGAGACGGCAGCAGAAGAGGAAACUUAUUAAGUUUCAAACUCGAAUCCUCGGCUCCUUAAGAAGGUUUGACUGUGUGGUGGCUGGUGUUUGGAUCAACCAUUACAGGAGGAGAACGUUUCAUCUCCACCUCCUCCAAACUUCACCAGAGCCUCAACAUGUGGACAGCACUGUCUUUCUUCAAGCUGCUGGAGCCACAACUUACAUCCCAGCUGUGUUCUCAUCUCCAGACACAAAG
This is a long non-coding RNA of Cynoglossus semilaevis (tongue sole), 308 nucleotides long. RefSeq lists it as uncharacterized. Lineage: Eukaryota; Metazoa; Chordata; Actinopteri; Pleuronectiformes; Cynoglossidae. The record is from RefSeq and is a predicted model, not a curated record. The transcript has 3 exons.